ACCCGAUCAAAUUACCCUAUCGGGUCUUUGUUGCAGAGGACCCGCGGGUCUUGGACCCGACCCGACCCAAAUCCGAAACCCGAUGGGUACCCGAAUUAAUAAUAUAAAUUAAAUAAAAUGCAUCAAGGGGGAAUCGAAGACGGGUUAUUCAUCUAGAGAACAUGGGGUCAACCACUAGGAGACAACGAAUUGUUGUUGUAUCUCGAAUAAUUUAAUAUAUAUACACAUUUUAAUAUAAUAAAAACACAAAUUUUGAAUAAAAUUUCGAAUAUUUUUGGAUAUAUAAAUAUUAAUCAGAUAUUUUUUUUGAAUUUUUAGGUCUUUUUUAAAUUGAACCCGAACCGAAUCCGACCCAAAACCGAAUCGAAUCUGAACCGAUAAGUUCUAGUUACCCGAAUGGGUCUAACUAUCUAAGACCCGACCCGAC
RNAcentral lists this long non-coding RNA (427 nucleotides) under Brassica napus (rape). RNAcentral's name for it is "long non-coding RNA (BNAP_LNC004919)". The record is from RNAcentral. Lineage: Eukaryota; Viridiplantae; Streptophyta; Magnoliopsida; Brassicales; Brassicaceae.